AUUGAACGCUGGCGGCAGGCCUAACACAUGCAAGUCGAGCGAGCGGCGGAAGGGUGAGGAAUGUAUGGGGACUGCCCGUUAGAGGGGGAUAACGACUGGAAACGGUAGCUAAUACCGCAUACUAUCGGAUAACCCAUAUGGGAUUAGCUAGUAGGUGAGGUAAUGGCUCACCUAGGCGACGAUCCCUAGCUGGUCUGAGAGGAUGAUCAGCCACACUGGGACUUAGACACGGCCCAGACUCCUACGGAGGCAGCAGUGGGGAAUAUUGCACAAUGGGCGCAAUCCUGAUGCAGCCAUGCCGCGUGUAUGAAGAAGGCCCUAGGGUUGUAAAGUACUUUCAGUUGGGAGGCGUUACCAACAGAAGAAGCACCGGCUAACUCCGUGCCAGCCGCCGCGGUAAUAC
This 403-nucleotide ribosomal RNA is filed under the name uncultured bacterium. RNAcentral's name for it is "partial 16S ribosomal RNA". It matches the Rfam family "Bacterial small subunit ribosomal RNA", at positions 30 to 526 of the family's 1533-position model. The record is from RNAcentral.